UAUGACCUACGAUUAGCCUGUUUUUUAAAAAGUAGGCAAUUACCAACCUGGCAAACUAAAAAUUUCAAGCGCCACAUUCAAACUAAAUAAUUUACAAGAGAUGCGAGGGAUGAUCUGUUUGUGGCACAAAUACAUUAUUUAAACGUCCUAUUGAUAGAUGGGACAGUUUCCAUCAAACAAUGAAGUCGGCAAGAUAUUUGUGUUAAAUGUCUUGGAGUAAAGCGACUAGAGAUGAAACCUUUACACCAUUUUCCCGGAUACCACCAAUCGGAAGUAAAAGUAAUAAUUUCAAAAAUUACAGAACGGAAAGUAAAGCUCUAGAGGUAGGGACGAGAAAUGCUGCAUUCCCAUUCAAAAAAAGAAAAUUACAACCAAACGAUAUUUCUAAAUCGUUGGAAUCUAACCGCUUGCUAAUUCGUCGCAAAACUUACGUUGUCCUCGAGCCGCUGGUUUGUAAACCUGAUAAAAACAAAUACCCAAAAAAUGCUUAUAAAUAAAUUUAUUGAUUUAUUUGCAA
This is a long non-coding RNA of Tribolium castaneum (red flour beetle), 517 nucleotides long. RefSeq lists it as uncharacterized. Lineage: Eukaryota; Metazoa; Arthropoda; Insecta; Coleoptera; Tenebrionidae. The transcript is spliced from 3 exons. The record is from RefSeq and is a predicted model, not a curated record.